ACGCUCGACACCUACGGGAGGCAGCAGUGGGGAAUAUUGCACAAUGGGGAAACCCUGAUGCAGCGACGCCGCGUGGAGGAAGAAGGUCUUCGGAUUGUAAACUCCUGUUGUUGGGGAAAAAGAGGAUGGUACCCAACAAGGAAGUGACGGCUAACUACGUGCAAGCAGCCGCGGUAAUCUGAGCGGGCUGGCAAGGC
RNAcentral lists this ribosomal RNA (197 nucleotides) under uncultured bacterium. RNAcentral describes it as "partial 16S ribosomal RNA". It matches the Rfam family "Bacterial small subunit ribosomal RNA", at positions 328 to 539 of the family's 1533-position model. The record is from RNAcentral.